This 425-nucleotide ribosomal RNA is filed under the name uncultured bacterium. RNAcentral describes it as "bacterial SSU rRNA". It matches the Rfam family "Bacterial small subunit ribosomal RNA", at positions 354 to 796 of the family's 1533-position model. The record is from RNAcentral.
GUGGGGAAUAUUGGACAAUGGGCGAAAGCCUGAUCCAGCAAUGCCGCGUGAGUGAUGAAGGCCUUAGGGUUGUAAAGCUCUUUUACCCGGGAUGAUAAUGACAGUACCGGGAGAAUAAGCUCCGGCUAACUCCGUGCCAGCAGCCGCGGUAAUACGGAGGGAGCUAGCGUUGUUCGGAAUUACUGGGCGUAAAGCGCACGUAGGCGGCUUUGUAAGUUAGAGGUGAAAGCCUGGAGCUUAACUCCAGAACUGCCUUUAAGACUGCAUCGCUUGAAUCCAGGAGAGGUGAGUGGAAUUCCGAGUGUAGAGGUGAAAUUCGUAGAUAUUCGGAAGAACACCAGUGGCGAAGGCGGCUCACUGGACUGGUAUUGACGCUGAGGUGCGAAAGCGUGGGGAGCAAACAGGAUUAGAAACCCCUGUAGUCC